RNAcentral lists this ribosomal RNA (501 nucleotides) under uncultured bacterium. RNAcentral describes it as "bacterial SSU rRNA". It matches the Rfam family "Bacterial small subunit ribosomal RNA", at positions 30 to 520 of the family's 1533-position model. The record is from RNAcentral.
AUUGAACGCUGGCGGCAUGCCUUACACAUGCAAGUCGAACGGCAGCACGGGGGCCACCCUGGUGGCGAGUGGCGAACGGGUGAGUAACAUAUCGGAACAUACCCUAGAGUGGGGGAUAACGUAGCGAAAGUUACGCUAAUACCGCAUACGAUCUAAGGAUGAAAGUGGGGGAUCUUCGGACCUCAUGCUCAUGGAGUGGCCGAUAUCUGAUUAGCUAGUUGGUGAGGUAAAGGCUCACCAAGGCGACGAUCAGUAGCUGGUUUUGAGAGAAUGACCAGCCACACUGGAACUGAGACACGGUCCAGACUCCUACGGGAGGCAGCAGUGGGGGAAUUUUGGACAAUGGGGGCAACCCUGAUCCAGCAAUGCCGCGUGAGUGAAGAAGGCCUUCGGGUUGUAAAGUCUCUUUUGUUCAGGGAGAAACGGUAGAGUUCUAAUACAGCUUGCUAAUGACGGUACCUGAAGAUAAGCACCGGCUAACUACGUAGCCAGCAGCCGCGG